This 253-nucleotide ribosomal RNA is filed under the name uncultured bacterium. RNAcentral's name for it is "partial 16S ribosomal RNA". It matches the Rfam family "Bacterial small subunit ribosomal RNA", at positions 524 to 776 of the family's 1533-position model. The record is from RNAcentral.
UACGGAGGAUCCAAGCGAUAUCCGGAAUCAUUGGGGUUAAAGGGUCCGUAGGCGGUUUAAUAAGUCAGUGGUGAAAGCCCAUCGCUCAACGGUGGAACGGCCAUUGAUACUGUUAAACUUGAAUUAUUAGGAAGUAACUAGAAUAUGUAGUGUAGCGGUGAAAUGCUUAGAGAUUACAUGGAAUACCAAUUGCGAAGGCAGGUUACUACUAAUGGAUUGACGCUGAUGGACGCAAGCGUGGGUAGCGAACAGG